Molecule: ribosomal RNA, 259 nt
Filed under: uncultured prokaryote
Description: partial 16S ribosomal RNA
Rfam family: Bacterial small subunit ribosomal RNA
Source: RNAcentral
UACGGAGGAUCCGAGCGUUAUCCGGAUUUAUUGGGUUUAAAGGGUGCGUAGGCGGCUUUUUAAGUCAGCGGUGAAAUUUUGCAGCUUAACUGUAACAGUGCCGUUGAUACUGGGGAGCUAGGAUUUGGUUGCUGUGGGUGGAAUGUGUGGUGUAGCGGUGAAAUGCUUAGAGAUCACACAGAAUAUCGAUUGCGAAGACAGCUCACAAAGCCAAGAUUGACGCUGAGGCACGAAAGUGUGGGGAUCAAACAGGAUUAGA